This 355-nucleotide ribosomal RNA is filed under the name uncultured bacterium. Its description in RNAcentral is "bacterial SSU rRNA". It matches the Rfam family "Bacterial small subunit ribosomal RNA", at positions 917 to 1271 of the family's 1533-position model. The record is from RNAcentral.
GGGCCCGCACAAGCGGUGGAGCAUGUGGUUUAAUUCGAUGAUACGCGAGGAACCUUACCAGGGCUUAAAUGUAAGUUGCAUAGAGUAGAGAUAUUCUUUUCUUCGGACUACUUACCAAGGUGCUGCAUGGUUGUCGUCAGCUCGUGCCGUGAGGUGUCAGGUUAAGUCCUAUAACGAGCGCAACCCCUGUUGUUAGUUGCCAGCGAGUCAAGUCGGGAACUCUAACAAGACUGCCAGUGCAAACUGUGAGGAAGGUGGGGAUGACGUCAAAUCAUCACGGCCCUUACGUCCGUGGCCUACACACGUGCUCACAAUGGUAGGUACAGAGAGCAGCCACUGCGCGAGCAGGAGCGAA